AGUGAACGCUGGCGGUAGGCCUAACACAUGCAAGUCGAACGGCAGCACAGUAAGAGCUUGCUCUUACGGGUGGCGAGUGGCGGACGGGUGAGGAAUACAUCGGAAUCUACUUUUUCGUGGGGGAUAACGUAGGGAAACUUACGCUAAUACCGCAUACGACCUACGGGUGAAAGCAGGGGAUCUUCGGACCUUGCGCGAUUGAAUGAGCCGAUGUCGGAUUAGCUAGUUGGCGGGGUAAAGGCCCACCAAGGCGACGAUCCGUAGCUGGUCUGAGAGGAUGAACAGCCAAACUGGAACUGAGAAACGGGCCAGACCCCUACGGGAGGCAGGCGUUGGGAAUUUUGGACAAAGGGGGCCAGCCCGAUCCAGGCCUACCGGGUUGGUUAAGAAGGCCUUCGGGUUGUAAAGCCCUUUUGUUGGGAAAGAAAAGCAGCAGGUUAAUACCCCGCUGUUCUGACGGUACCCAAAGAAUAAGCACCGGCUAACUUCGUG
Molecule: ribosomal RNA, 492 nt
Filed under: uncultured bacterium
Lineage: Bacteria
Description: partial 16S ribosomal RNA
Rfam family: Bacterial small subunit ribosomal RNA
Source: RNAcentral